GACGAACGCUGGCGGCGUGCUUAACACAUGCAAGUCGAGCGGUAAGGCCCUUUCGGGGGUACGACGAGCGGCGAACGGGUGGAGUAACACGUGGGUGACCUGCCCUCAGCUCUGGGAGUAAGCCUGGGAAACCGGGUCUAAUACUGGAUAUGACUCCAUGACGCAUGUUGUGGGGUGGAAAGCCUUGUGCGGCUGAGGAUGGGCCCGCGGCCUAUCAGCUUGUUGGUGGGGGAUGGCCUACCAAGGCGACGACGGGUAGGCCGGCCUGAGAGGACGAUCAGCCACACUGGGACUGAGACACGGCCCAGACUCCUACGGGAGGCAGCAGUGGGGAAGUCUUGCGCAAUGCGCGAAAGCGUGACGCAGCAACACCGCGUGAGGGGAGAC
This 387-nucleotide ribosomal RNA is filed under the name uncultured bacterium. RNAcentral describes it as "bacterial SSU rRNA". It matches the Rfam family "Bacterial small subunit ribosomal RNA", at positions 28 to 412 of the family's 1533-position model. The record is from RNAcentral.